This 495-nucleotide ribosomal RNA is filed under the name uncultured bacterium. Its description in RNAcentral is "bacterial SSU rRNA". It matches the Rfam family "Bacterial small subunit ribosomal RNA", at positions 28 to 506 of the family's 1533-position model. The record is from RNAcentral.
AACGAACGUUGGCGGCGUGGAUGAGGCAUGCAAGUCGAACGUGAAAGCCUUCGGGUGAGUAGCGUGGCGGACGGGCGAGUAACACGUAACCAAGCUGCCUGUCAGACGGGGAUAACUCCGGGAACCGGAGCUAAGACCCGAUGGUCUUGCGGGAUCGCAUGUUCCUGCAAGUAAAUGGACGGGACCCUCCGGGCCGUCUGCUGACAGAGGUGGUUGCGGCCCAUCAGCUAGUUGGUAGGGUAAUGGCCUACCAAGGCAACGACGGGUAGCCGGCCUAAGAGGGUGGUCGGCCGCACUGGGACUGAGACACUGCCCAGACUCCUACGGGAGGCUGCAGUCGAGAAUCUUCCGCAAUGGGCGAAAGCCUGACGGAGCGACGCCGCGUGGAGGACGAAGGCCUUCGGUUGUAACUCCUGUCACGAGUUAAGAAGGUUCGCGGACGAACAGUCUGCGGACUUGACGUAAGCUCGAGAGGAAGCACUGGCUAACCUCUGU